UGUCGAAUGUCUCCGGUUGCGAUGGCUAUCAACAAGAAAUUUCGCAUAAAAGGAAAGGCAGAAACCUCAUGG
Molecule: non-coding RNA, 72 nt
Organism: Aspergillus fumigatus Af293
Lineage: Eukaryota; Fungi; Ascomycota; Eurotiomycetes; Eurotiales; Aspergillaceae
Source: the annotation of a RefSeq genome assembly